Hydra vulgaris (swiftwater hydra) is the source of this 1092-nucleotide long non-coding RNA. RefSeq lists it as uncharacterized. The record is from RefSeq and is a predicted model, not a curated record. Lineage: Eukaryota; Metazoa; Cnidaria; Hydrozoa; Anthoathecata; Hydridae.
UGAAACCCCAUCUACUAACAUAUUAAAACAGUGUACAAAAUGUGAUGUUACUAGAACUUAUAUUCUACUUAUGUAGAGCUUUCUAAUAUUCCAUAUUGUCCCUCUGCCUUUCUGAGGCAGAGGGACAUUAUUCUUGGUUUCAUUAUUUUUUAAUUUAAUAUCUCUGGAUAUUUUCCAUAUUUAGUUUGCGUACAACAGUUAACAACUUUAAGCUUUUGUUAUUAUUACAUUAUUAUAUUACAUUAACUUUAGUUAUAACUUAAUUAAUAAUGAUUUGAUUUAUAGAUUUUUAAAGCAAUACAAGAUUGAAUUUAGCAUUAGGCUAAAUUUCUGCUCUGGAGACAAAAAAGGAAGACAGCGAAAAUGACCAGUCAAAAUAAAGAUUGAAGAGACAAAAAAUUGUGUAUAUCUUGGUGUAGAUGAUUUAUCCUCAUUUUCUAAUAAUAAAACAAAAAAUAUUAACUCCAAAAUCUUUACAGAAGUUUAAUGUUUGCUCUGAGAAGUUGAAUGAACAAAAUUAUUAAAUGUGUUCAUUCUUAGUCGUCAUUGAAGUACAACUUGGUAAACUACAAAACAUCAAAUUCAGUUAUAAAAAUUUGAGUAACAAAGGUAUACUAAUUAUUGUAUUGCCUGAAAGAGUGUCAUUGCUAUUAAAAGCAGUGAAGAAUUCGAGUACUCUGGAAGAAAAGAAAAUACGUAAGUAAAUGGUCAAUUAUUUGGCACAAAUCGGAAUUAAAGACAAAGGAGAUUGUAUAUUUUAUUUGCUAAGAAUAGUUUUUUAAAAUGGCCUCGUUGUAAAAUUAAACUAUGCAGGGAGAGGACAAAAAAUUGGAAUAGAAAAAAUAUUGAUUGCAUAUGCUGCUAUUCAAUCUGUGAAGUCAAAUAAGCAUGGCUUAUGCAGACAUGUGAUAGAGAUAGAGGAAGAAAAAAUAAUAGACGUGAGCACCAAAUAUCAAAAGCUAAACAAUAUUCAAUAACAAGUAGCUCAGCCAAUAUCGAAACUACUCUAUAAAUUUUAUAGUUAAUUUUUUUUAUUUAAAACUCAAUGUGUCAGUUUUUGGUUUAAGUUUGGUGUUUGCAAUAUGUAUAUUU